UCCCCGUUAACCGGGGCAGCACCUGUGUCCAGGUUCCCUUUCGGGCACCCCUCCAUCUCUGGAGGGUUCCUGGCAUGUCAAGGGUAGGUAAGGUUUUUCGCGUUGCAUCGAAUUAAUCCACAUAAUCCACCGCUUGUGCGGGUCCCCGUCAAUUCCUUUGAGUUUUAACCUUGCGGCCGUACUCCCCAGGCGGUCAACUUCACGCGUUAGCUUCGUUACCAAGGAAUUGCUUCCCCGACAACCAGUUGACAUAGUUUAGGGCGUGGACUAC
This 271-nucleotide unclassified non-coding RNA is filed under the name uncultured Gammaproteobacteria bacterium. Its description in RNAcentral is "contains 16S-23S intergenic spacer region". Lineage: Bacteria; Pseudomonadati; Pseudomonadota; Gammaproteobacteria. The record is from RNAcentral.